This is a long non-coding RNA of Sphaerodactylus townsendi, 502 nucleotides long. RefSeq lists it as uncharacterized. NCBI's taxonomy places the organism in Eukaryota, Metazoa, Chordata, Lepidosauria, Squamata, Sphaerodactylidae. The transcript is spliced from 2 exons. The record is from RefSeq and is a predicted model, not a curated record.
GACCUCUGGGAUAGGUUCUCGCACGCGCGCACACACAAAAUGGCUGCCAUGGGGUACAAGAGCAAAUCACAGAUGAUUGAAAAGCAGACAACAAAGUCAGUUGUUUCUAGGCUGUGCAGAAGAAGGAAAUCUGAGUGGUCUUGGGGGAGAAGAAAUAGGAGUAGGGCAGGUUGCAGACCCCUAGAGUAGGGAACCAAAUCCAGUUCUCCUGAUUAGAGUCCACCCGCUUUUAGCCACUGCGCCACACUGGCUCCAUGUUCGGAGGCGGUUGGAGGGAUGGAGCCAAAGGAGGUGUGUUUGGCUCGUCUGCCCUGCUUGCAUGGGGUUGGGGGUAUUGCAUGGGGCACUGUGGGAAGAAUAGAAGCUGGGGGGGGGGGGGGGGGUCGUUUGGAUCCAGUCAUAAAGUGAGCAUUAUUAUUAUUAUCAUCAUCAUCAUCCUGAAAUAGCACUCAGAAAAAGCACCAACUUCCCGUGAUGCCCAGUAAGAGAGAUGAACCGUUAA